CUGACCUCAGAUCAGGC
RNAcentral lists this ribosomal RNA (17 nucleotides) under Lentinellus ursinus. RNAcentral's name for it is "partial large subunit ribosomal RNA". The record is from RNAcentral. Lineage: Eukaryota; Fungi; Basidiomycota; Agaricomycetes; Russulales; Auriscalpiaceae.